RNAcentral lists this unclassified non-coding RNA (1985 nucleotides) under Hevea brasiliensis (rubber tree). Lineage: Eukaryota; Viridiplantae; Streptophyta; Magnoliopsida; Malpighiales; Euphorbiaceae. The record is from RNAcentral.
ACAAAUAACUCGUAGUAGAUUUAUAAGUCAGAAACACUAUCAGAUUGCCAUUUGGCAAUAUCAGACUUUAACUCAUAUAUGACAGUACACUUUACAAAAAAUAAAGGAAAAAAAGGGAAACAAAAAAAAAACAAUAUAUUACAUUUUCAAUACUCAUAAUUUGAAACUUAAUGACGCAUUAAUUUAAAAAAUUAAAAAUAAAAUCUCAAUUUACAGUGCAAGACACAACUCAAGUUAAUAUUAUUAGCAUUUCCAAAAAUCCAAAAAAAAAAAGCACUAGCCAUUUGAUUCAAAUGUCAUUUUUUGUUAACUUAGUUUUCUCAAUAACCAAAGAGACGUUUUCAAAAUAAACAAGAAGUAAAAAAAAAUGAUAAUAAAUAAAAUAAAAGAAGAGAGAGAGAGAAGAAAAUAGGAAAUAAGAACUCAUAGUCCGAAAAAUGAACAAAUAUCAUUUGUAGCACAAUCUUUCCAUUUCAAAAACUUAAAGCGCCAUUUAAUGAUAAUUCAAAUAACCCCUUAUUUUCCGUCAUCAGUUGAACUAAUGUUAUGAAAGAAGUUAUUAGUACAGAACUUAGGUAAAUAGUCAAGCCUCAAGAGGACUACUUUAACAUAAUGAAAGAAGUAAUAAGUACAAAAUCUAGCAGGAAAGUAAGAUAAUCGUUAUUAAACAGAGCGUCCAAUCAACUAUGCCCACAGAACAUUUGUUUUGCUUUGCUGAAAUGGACUAUAUACAAUCUUGUGUAAAAUCCUUAAAUCUAAUGAUUCAAAAAAUGUCCACCUCAACUUUGCUAAAUACCACUUGGCUACAUAGUGAUAGAAACUAGCUCUCCUGGUAUCUAAACAACUAAUAUCCUGAACAUUCAUUUUACAGUUAUUUACUACUUUCUUUCCAGCGCUGUUCAAAUAAGAAAAUUCAAGAUGAAACAAUAAAGUACUGGUGAUAGACAAAAUCAGGAAUUCAUAAACAACUUGAAGCCAUAAAGUGCAAUCCUCGAUCAAACUAUCUUAUGUCUUUCUCCAAAGCAUUUCUACAGCCUCGAUAGAACUUUCUCCUAUCACAUUUAAAUAUUGCAAAAAAACUGAUUUAACAUGUGAUCUUCUUUUGAUAUCUUCGAAAUUCAAUUGCAACUUUUUUUCAAACCCCAAAAAUGGAAAAGGAAAUUACCAAAUUAUCAUAAUUUUCCAUUUUGCACCAUUAUCGAAUAACCACUAUAUUAUUCAGCUAUAACUAAUUGACCCAUUUGCAUUAAUUUCCUAAAUCGCUGUGAAACGAAACCCGCCGCUUUCAUGAAAACAAUUUUCCAUCACCAAUAAUUCACCAAGGCAAUCCUCCGUUUGGCUACCGGAAAACAACAUACACGCGCAUGUAUAUGGACAAAGAGUCCUAGCCAUUUGAGAUAAUUUGCUAAAUUAUAUAUUAAAACAACCCUGGGUGCUUUUGCGCAAUCAAAACCAAACCAGCAUUAGACCUAAACCUAGCAUUAAAACUUCGUUUCAUUGAGGGUUGAAGAAAAUGAGAAACCCUAGGGAAGGAGCAAGUGAGAGAUAAUUACAGAUAGCGAGGAGAGGGCAAGGUCCAUUGUCGUUUUGGAGAACAAUAGGAGUAGUGCGGCCCAAAAACUGUAUCGUCUUCGUUUUGUGGACGCACUCCUCUUUCAACGCCUCUUGUUGAUUCUGUUCUUGUCUUGGUUCUUCGGUCACCGAAGAAGUACAAGCCAUUUCCAUGAAAUUUCGACCCUGCAAUGUUUAAACGACGGAUCGUUUAAUCUAUUCAGAGGUAGCGAGCGAGAGCGAGAAAUAGAGAGGAUAAAAAGGGAAGCAGCAACGAACAAGAUUUAUAAAAUCAGAGAGUUGGAUUAUGGGAAUGGGAUGUUUUAUCUUCUGUUCUUUAUUUCCCGUUCGACGGUAUCACCAAAGCCGUUUUGGCCUCUUUCGAUUUCAAGUUUCAAUCUGAUGAGAUUUUUUCUCAUUAUUUUCCUAUUUUU